This 1028-nucleotide ribosomal RNA is filed under the name Chapsa aff. alborosella Kalb 38761. Its description in RNAcentral is "SSU rRNA". It matches the Rfam family "Bacterial small subunit ribosomal RNA", at positions 347 to 1233 of the family's 1533-position model. The record is from RNAcentral. Lineage: Eukaryota; Fungi; Ascomycota; Lecanoromycetes; Ostropales; Graphidaceae.
UAUAGCAGUGGGGGAGAAUGGUCAAUGGCCUAACGGCUGAACCAGCAACUUGGAGGAAUGCAUAGGGAAAGCCGGUAAGAAGGUGAUGUACCUAUGAUAUCAGGGUAAGAUAAAAGGUUUUAUUUUGAUAUUAUGUUAACAAAGUUAAUUAAAAUUCGAAGUAUAUAUUGAUUAUGACAAUAUUUACUAAUGUCUUGACCAAAUCACGUGCCAGCAGUCGCGGUAAUACGUGGAAGAUAAGUGUUAUUCAUCUUUAUUAGGUAUAUAGGGUACCUAGACGGUUAAUAAAACAAACAAAAAUGUAUUUAUUAACUAGAGUUUAAUGUAAGAGAGAUUGAGUAUGGUGAGUGUAGAGAUAUAAUUCUGUGAUACCACUUUUAAACUGGUAAAGGCGAAGGCAACUUUCUAUGUAAAAACUGACGUUGAGGGACGAAGGCUCGAAUCAAAUAAUAGGAUUAGUUACCCUAGUAUUGUGGGCAGACAAUGAUGAGUGUCAUAUAUAAGAAUUUUAAAAAUUAUAUAGUUUUUGUGUAUAAAUGAAAGUGUAAGCACUCCACCUCAAGAGUAACAUGGCAACAUGGGAACUGAAAUCAUUAGACCGUUUCUGAAACUCGUAGUGAAGUAUGUUGUUUAAUUUGAUAGUCCUCAAAUAACCUUACCACAACUUGUAUUACUCUAAGAAUUUUGUAUAGUAUCAAUGUUAAUGUGAAGGAUACUGUAAAAGUAACAAAUAGGGCUAAGUCUAUUGGAUACAGUCCCUAAUAUAAAUUUAUAUUAGUACUUUAAUAUAAUACUACCUUUAUCUACUUAUAAGACUUAGCAAUAAAGGUUUUACAAAUCUUAUAGCAACAGGUGUUGCACGGCUGUCUCCAGUCAAUGUUGUGAAACUGUGGUUAGAUCCAUUAAAUUGACGUAAACCCUUACUUUAUUUACAAUAGAGUAGUUCGCCGCUAUACUGGUAGUGAUAUAAGGGACUAAGACAAGUCAUCAUGACCCGAAUGUUGUGGGCUAUAGCCGUGCCACAUAUC